This 756-nucleotide ribosomal RNA is filed under the name uncultured bacterium. RNAcentral describes it as "bacterial SSU rRNA". It matches the Rfam family "Bacterial small subunit ribosomal RNA", at positions 1 to 749 of the family's 1533-position model. The record is from RNAcentral.
UUAGAGUUUGAUCCUGGCUCAGGAUGAACGCUGGCGGCGUGCUAAUACAUGCAGUAGAACGCUGAAGGAGGAGCUUGCUCUUCUGGAUGAGUUGCGAACGGGUGAGUAACGCGUAGGUAACCUGCCUGGUAGCGGGGGAUAACUAUUGGAAACGAUAGCUAAUACCGCAUAACAGUAGAUGUUGCAUGACAUCUACUUGAAAGGUGCAAUUGCAUCACUACCAGAUGGACCUGCGUUGCAUUAGCUAGUUGGUGAGGUAACGGCUCACCAAGGCGACGAUACAUAGCCGACCUGAGAGGGUGAUCGGCCACACUGGGACUGAGACACGGCCCAGACUCCUACGGGAGGCAGCAGUAGGGAAUCUUCGGCAAUGGACGGAAGUCUGACCGAGCAACGCCGCGUGAGUGAAGAAGGUUUUCGGAUCGUAAAGCUCUGUUGUAAGAGAAGAACGAGCGUGAGAGUGGAAAGUUCACACUGUGACGGUAUCUUACCAGAAAGGGACGGCUAACUACGUGCCAGCAGCCGCGGUAAUACGUAGGUCCCGAGCGUUAUCCGGAUUUAUUGGGCGUAAAGCGAGCGCAGGCGGUUAGAUAAGUCUGAAGUUAAAGGCUGUGGCUUAACCAUAGCACGCUUUGGAAACUGUUUAACUUGAGUGCAAGAGGGGAGAGUGGAAUUCCAUGUGUAGCGGUGAAAUGCGUAGAUAUAUGGAGGAACACCGGUGGCGAAAGCGGCUCUCUGGCUUGUAACUGACGCUGA